Molecule: ribosomal RNA, 1407 nt
Filed under: Roseobacter sp. R18-20
Lineage: Bacteria; Pseudomonadati; Pseudomonadota; Alphaproteobacteria; Rhodobacterales; Roseobacteraceae
Description: bacterial SSU rRNA
Rfam family: Bacterial small subunit ribosomal RNA
Source: RNAcentral
CUACCAUGCAAGUCGAGGGGUAACAGGGAAGAGCUUGCUCUUUCGCUGACGACCGGCGCACGGGUGCGUAACGCGUAUACAACCUACCUUUUGGAGGGGAAUAGCCCAGGGAAACUUGGAUUAAUGCCCCAUAGUAUGGGAAUAUCUCCUGAUAUUUUCAUUAAACAUUUAUGGCCAUUAGAUGGGUAUGCGUCCUAUUAGUUAGUUGGUAAGGUAACGGCUUACCAAGGCAGCGAUAGGUAGGGGUCCUGAGAGGGAGAUCCCCCACACUGGUACUGAGACACGGACCAGACUCCUACGGGAGGCAGCAGUGAGGAAUAUUGGACAAUGGGCGAGAGCCUGAUCCAGCCAUGCCGCGUGCAGGAAGACUGCCCUAUGGGUUGUAAACUGCUUUUACAGAGGAAGAACCACUCCCACGUGUGGGAGUUUGACGGUACUCUGCGAAUAAGGAUCGGCUAACUCCGUGCCAGCAGCCGCGGUAAUACGGAGGAUCCAAGCGUUAUCCGGAAUCAUUGGGUUUAAAGGGUCCGUAGGCGGGCAGUUAAGUCAGUGGUGAAAGUCUUCCGCUCAACGGGAGAACUGCCAUUGAUACUGAUUGUCUUGAGUUAUUAUGAAGUGGUUAGAAUGAGUAGUGUAGCGGUGAAAUGCAUAGAUAUUACUCAGAAUACCGAUUGCGAAGGCAGAUCACUAAUAAUAUACUGACGCUGAUGGACGAAAGCGUAGGUAGCGAACAGGAUUAGAUACCCUGGUAGUCUACGCCGUAAACGAUGGUUACUAGCUGUUCGGCCCGAUUAAGGGCUGAGUGGUUAAGCGAAAGUGAUAAGUAACCCACCUGGGGAGUACGUUCGCAAGAAUGAAACUCAAAGGAAUUGACGGGGGCCCGCACAAGCGGUGGAGCAUGUGGUUUAAUUCGAUGAUACGCGAGGAACCUUACCAGGGCUUAAAUGUAGUCUGACAGGAGUGGAAACACUUUUUUCUUCGGACAGAUUACAAGGUGCUGCAUGGUUGUCGUCAGCUCGUGCCGUGAGGUGUCAGGUUAAGUCCUAUAACGAGCGCAACCCCUGUGGUUAGUUGCCAGCGAGUAAUGUCGGGAACUCUAGCCAGACUGCCGGUGCAAACCGCGAGGAAGGUGGGGAUGACGUCAAAUCAUCACGGCCCUUACGUCCUGGGCCACACACGUGCUACAAUGGUAGGGACAGAGAGCAGCCACUUCGCGAGAAGGAGCGAAUCUACAAACCCUAUCACAGUUCGGAUCGCAGUCUGCAACUCGACUGCGUGAAGCUGGAAUCGCUAGUAAUCGCAUAUCAGCCAUGAUGCGGUGAAUACGUUCCCGGGCCUUGUACACACCGCCCGUCAAGCCAUGGAAGCCGGGGGUACCUGAAGUCGGUCACCGCAAGGAGCCGCCUG